This is a long non-coding RNA of Ruditapes philippinarum (Manila clam), 2057 nucleotides long. RefSeq lists it as uncharacterized. NCBI's taxonomy places the organism in Eukaryota, Metazoa, Mollusca, Bivalvia, Venerida, Veneridae. The record is from RefSeq and is a predicted model, not a curated record. The transcript has 4 exons.
AAGUACUGGUAUGUAUAAUAAUUUUAAAUGGGUCUAAAUUGUCUAGUUUUCUUAUUGACAUGACAAGUUCUAAUUUCAUAGGUUGAGUGUUUAUUAUAUAAUAUUGUGUAUAUUGUGACAAUGUUGCCCUGGUUAAAUUAUAAUAUUCUAUAGAAAUUGGUUGUUGAAAGUCAGGUUGCCCUUUACAGACACAGGUUAACUAAGCUUGCUGUGCUCUUGUUACAAAUGUAUAUAUAUAUUCAUACUAAAAACAUUGUUAUACAUACAGCUGUCAGUGACUCAUGUUUUUUGUUUUUUCAAUUUACAGAUUCUGAGGUUAUAAAAGAGAAAGAAGUGUUCCCCAAAAGAGAACCACUAUCCAGUGGGGAAGAGGUUAAAAUAGAUUGUAACAGGGAUGUCAUCAUAGCUGAGCCUGUGAUCAAUGAUGGCCCAGUGGCUAUCGCGAUUACUCCGAGGGCUCGCUUGUUCCCUAAGGCUGCCACUCCCGUUCAUCCCAAGGUACAUGAACAUUCUUUAGUUCCAGAAGUUGAGAAAAGCACAUGGUAAAGACAAAAGCAUCAGUGCAGGGUCAGACUGUAGAGUCAGACUCUACACCCACAAAAGAAGAGGACAACAGAGUGUCAUAGUGGUGAAAAAGCAAUUGUGAUACUGUUGAAUAUGUAGGUAAUUUCUCAGUCUGUUCUCUCAUGGUAACUCGACAAACAGUUAAGAUGAAUACCACAAGUAAUGGAUGAAAUAAAAGACUUGACAGGAAAAAUGAAACCAAAUCAUCGCAGAAGAAAUGACUGCAAACUUAUGGAUUUACAGGGUUGCAAUGUGAUAAAAAGUUCAGAUCACUGAAGUACUGAUUCUGAGGUUAUAAAAGAGAAAGAAGUGUUCCCCAAAAGAGAACCACUAUCCAGUGGGGAAGAGGUUAAAAUAGAUUGUAACAGGGAUGUCAUCAUAGCUGAGCCUGUGAUCAAUGAUGGCUUAGUCGCUAUCGCGAUUACUCCGAGGGCUCGCUUGUUCCCUAAGGCUGCCACUCCCAUUCAUCCCAAGCAAAACCAUGGAAAUGUCCAAUGGACAAUUGUAACAAAGAAUACGUUCAUAGGGGAUGGCUCAAGAGACAUCUAAGGAUCAAACAUGAUAUGGUAAUCAAAAUAGUAUUCGGAUAAACCAUAUAUAUAUAGCAUUUCUUUAACAUUUGAUACCCAGUUUUUUUUUACCUAAUUAUAACAAUCAGAUAAACUUAAUUCAUAUGUUUUCCGUAAAAUUAUAUUGUCAGUAUUUAUCAAUUUGCACCAAAACUUAAUUAUUCUUACGUAUCGAUUGAUAUACAAUGGGUGACGGCCGAGUUUGCCGAAUAUACGAACAUUGCUUGUAUUGGCUCUAACAUUUAAAAUUCUUUUACAAUAUUUCAAGUGAAUAUGCUCAAUUAUCUUUUGAUUUGCUAUAACACCAUACUCUCAGAUGCAUAUAAUAUGAUUGAGCCUACAACAGAAUCAAUAAUUGGCAUAAUAAUUUGGGUUUUAAAUCCAUGUCUUCUGUUUAGAAGUAAAAGCAAUGUAUAUAGUUCCAGUAACAACUUCCUCAUUAAUAGGUAAUAGUUUUAGCUUGAUUACACCCUAUUGGAUACGCUGUCUAUUUUUCAUAUAACAUGCUGGAAUAUUAAAAUUUUGCUUAGAAAUACAUUAUGUAUUACAAAAUACGUUUGUUUACAUCAAGUUAACAUAUUAUUUGAUUUAAUUAUGAUUUCCACAAUUCAUAAAACAUGCCAACUCUUUGAAAUAAGUCAAAUCUAACAUUUUAAAAAUAUCCCUAGAUUUUCGUGAUUUUGGUCACAACACGCUUCCGUAGCAAAGAAAAAUUUACAUAACUUGUGCAUAUACAUUUUUUUAAAUACCCAGUAAGAUGUGUGGUUAAUUCAGUGUCAUUUUAGAUAAUUGUACAAAAGAAAACAAUGUAGAACAGUGAGUAAAAGAUAAACUCUCUUUUAAUGAUUACUUUAUGCAAAAUUGUGUUUAAAAUCGCGAAAUUAUAUGACACAUUUUGUCAUCUGCAUAAUCGAUUGAUUGGUG